UUCCGACUCCGAGUCUUGAGACCCCCUCUGCUCCGGCGCCAGGGACUCGCACUCCGCCUCUGCUCCACCGCCGACGGCGAUUUCGGAUUCACCAUCCUUCUCGGCCGUCCAUGGAUGGAUGAUUUCUCUAAGGAAUUCUCUCUCUGUCUCUCUGUCUCUCUCUCUCUCUCUCCUCAGCAUUUCCACCACCCUCUUGGUCGGCGCCGGAUACUUCGCCUUAGGCUUUCUCCUCGCCCACAAGGAGACCGGGAGCGGCUUUCCUUCCCAAGUUCUUGGAUCAAGCCUUCGCUGAUAGGACUACAGUCGCCUCCUUUCGGCCGACGACGCUGCCGCCUAGUUCGAGUAUAUAGAGCGAACCACGCAGAAGAAGCCCUCCCUUCACGAGAUCAAAACCCUUGCUGAAAUUCUUGAAAGUUUCGACAUGGUUUUGCUUGUUAGAAAUGAUCUGGAAAUGAGACAAGGGAAGAUUGCUGCCCGACGCAGUGAGACUAAUGAGUUUGAUGGACAUCAUGAGCAAGAGAACAGAGAAACUAGCUACUCAAAAGCAUAAAAGACAGCCAUGCAAUGGUGAUUUGUAUAAAGAGCUCCUUCGAAGGUCUGUGCAAGCUUUCAGCAGGUACCUUUGGUUAUUCUCAUAAAUGAAUUAUCUAUCUCAUAGAAAGCUCUUUGAUAGGGAUUCAAAAUAAGUGUGCAGGUACCUUUUGGUACUCUUACAAAUUUAUCAUCAUAUCUCGUAUACCUUGCUUUUGCACCUACAAAAUCAAGAAUUGUCAUAUUAGAACUUCAUAUACUGGUUCUAGAUAUUUUGAUUUUAUCAUGUACAGCUUCUUUUGUCGACAUGAGGGAGAAUCUAGGACAAGAUUGUAACCAUAAUCAAAAGGGAGAUCUUCUGUGGUUACAAGUAUAUUACAGUGACAUGUAGUUUAAUCACAUUGGUUAACAUAGAUCUAUCACUUUCUUCGUCUAGAUUUGCACCUUUUUCUGUCAUCAGAUAGUUCCAGACUCAUAAACCUGUUGCCAUCUCAAGAUGGUAUAUGGUAGUGGGUCAGUAGUAUAAAAGCAAACAGCACAAAGGAUCACCUGGUGGUUGACCCAGUUGCCUAUAACAUUAAGUCUAUUGUCUUCUUAGAUGCACAAAUUUAGUUGCAAUGCUCAAGUAAAAGGGAAACAUCGGUGCCUCUGAAGCAUCAGUGAUGGUGCUUCAUGAUUUGCUUUUUCCUGCUUGCUUAUGGAUCUCUAACAUAUGAUUGAUAACUGACCUUGUUAUCCAAAAAUCCUUCCGGAUUAGAUUACCGUAAUGUCACGGACAAACUUCUAAACAUGAUGUUUGAUGUAAUGCUGAUGUAUAUCCAUGUCUUUUGGUAUGUUCAUGCCUUGUACAGCAUGUAGAGGGACGGUCGAAGUCUUAAUAGUCCCAUUUUAGUUGGAUUGGUGGCCUCUUUAGGCUUGUAAAUAAAGGUUGUGUCAUGUGGACACGUGCGAGAGAUUUUCGGUCUGUAAUGGACUAUUUUACCCUUUGUUGUGCAACUGUUCAGAGCUUGUAAAGUCUAUUUGUAAUUUGCAUUGUCUAUGAAGUAUUUUUCGGAGAUGUUUGCUUGUGGAUCCCGAUUGAGACGUUCUCUCUAACUCGUUCUAUCUUUUGUUGGUCCUAAGGGACAAUGAGAGGCAUCGGAGAGGCUGACCUUUGCGGACGGACACGCAAGGGUGCCGCACGACUUAAACAAAACCAGCUAAGUCCGUGACAGAUGGUAUCAGAGCGGGACAAGCACUCAUAGAAACACUUAGCAUGCAAAUGUGGGAGACCUAGCGGGGCUGCAUUGACGGCAGUCAGCACACGCGCGACCGUUUGGGGGAAAACGGGCAUGGAGAAUAGGGAAAAGGAGUCGCUCGGAGGAGCGGGUAUAUGACAUUGGCAUUCAGAGGAAUGGCCAACCCUUCGCACAAGAGGCACCACGAGAACAGGCAAGCUUGGAAGAAUGUGGAGCGCACAAAGGUUGGGAUGGCUGAGUUUGAGCUACGACUCAACGUUGACAACUAUACUUGAUGGUGCUCAAGGCAAGCGAGGCGCUUGGUAAGAAUGAGACCAUGUAAGGUGGAAUGAGUUGCUCAGCGAUCGAAAGAGUUGUGCAAAGCUCACAAAGGUGAGGGGAAUUGCUAACUCAAAGAAUUCGGUACUCAUGCAUGGGCUUGUAUGCGGACGAUGGAAUGUUCGUGGCCAUCCCAAGGCGACCGAAACUCGGCGCCAUGGAGCAUUAAAACUUUCUCUUCGGCAUGUGAAGGAUACGUCCGUAGGAGGCUGAAGUGUGCAACGAGUUCAGCAUGUUGCUAGGCCUUGAGUGGUGCAGCGGGGGCUGUAUUGACGUGGAGUCGCAAUCUAGCAAGUGCGUUUGCAGGAGGCAGAACAAUGCACAGUUUGUUCAGCAGAUCAUAGUAGUCCAAGGGGAUGGUGGUCUCCGAAACGAAGAGAGAUGUUGCUCCAAUGGGAUAGUUAUCCAGGAGGGAUAAGUCCCAGCUCUCCAGAGGGAGAAUCAUGUGGGACGAACCUCACAUGUUGAGGAGGAGUACCUCAACAAACAACGACUCCACGAAGCUCAAUGGACUGAGCAAGCGGCGAGGAGUCGUCGCAUGAUCUCGCUUAAGAGAAUGCAUUGGUGGAUGCAUUGCGAGAUCAAGUGGGGGAGCGACCCAAAGCAACUUAAAUAAAGGCACACUUGGAGUCGAUGUGGAGAUCGGACAAGGGAGGGCUGACCCGUAGAAUGGUGGGCGCGAGGGCCACCAUCGACUCAAUGCAAAACUAAGGAGCAGAGCAACUUGGGUGUAACUUGGCGAAGUACCCAAGCCGCAUGAAGGGAGCCAACAUAGAAGUUGGAACAUGGAGCGGAGGCAUAGUGCUUUCCUUAGACAGAGGUCAAGGACAUGAACUCUUGUAGAGGCAAGAGUAGAAUCAUGUUGUUCCAUGGGUUCUUCAUUCUGACGGAGCGGACUCAUCUUGCAUGGUGCCAAAGACGAAAGGAGCUUCUGGGCACAUGCACCUUAUCUCGAAGAAGCAUUUGAUGGAGGAACUAAGGCGACUAAAUUUGCGGAGGUGAAAUUGGGUUCAGAAUGUCUUAUCACGGGGCAAGAGGACUCAGAGAUGGGUACUCUUGAAGAAUAUGCCACAGUGUUGCCAUUCAAGUUGCCAUGAAGGAAGCGGUGCGCAGCGGAGAUUGUGCUGGUAGGGGCAGAGGCCUAGGAUCCAGACAAUGGUGCACAAAUUACAGUGAAGUCGGUGGACUUCGGGAGCUACUAAGCGAUGGACUGCCUUAGAGCGGUGCUUCAUCUAGGUGAGACACAAGAGUGGAUGGAUGAAGGUCGAUUGUCAAAGGAGCGAACAAAAUUGAAGGUGGAAGAGACCCUGCGAUGUAUUGGCAGAGGCCACACAUGGAGGGUUCACAAUUCGAGUUUAUUCCACAAGGAUCAGAAUGCAAUGGAGAUGUCACCAGGAGGCGACAUGGUGCAGCGGAUCAUGGUGGAACAGUUCAUGGCAAUGCGAUACACACGACAUAGUCCCGUGAGAGACUAUAUCAUAUGGAGGUAUGAUCAGGAGUUACUGGAAGCUCCACUUUGGUGAACAACACGACGGCAAGAAGGGCUAUGGAUUCAAGGAGUGAAGGCCAUGGUGCCGCAGAGGCGGGUCUUCCGUGCGUGUAUCGAAUUUUGCAUCGGAUGAAAGCCUUGGUCAUCAGCAUAUGGAGGCUGGGUUCCACCAAGGGAAAAGUUCGAAUGCAAGUACCAGUGAGUUCCAUGGGAGGGACUUGAUCAUGUAGAGGUAUAAUUGAAGCAGUUGGAGAGUUGGACUGCUCCAGAGCUCAUAUUCGCUUAAGGGAGCCCGAUAAGUCAGAGGACAAGGUCGAGUAAACGAACAUUGCUACCAAGGAAGCUAAGGAGAACAGAAUCGGUGCAAAUCCUAUAACGUGAUGGCAGAAGCCAUGCUUGGGAGUUGUAGUCUGUCUUUCCAUCGACCAAACAGACUGCUUGGAGAACACAAAGGUGUUGAAGCAGGGGGUCGAAAGGGGUGAGGAAGCAACGACGAGUCCAGAGGGACUUAGCUACCCAAAAUCAAGCAUCAGUUAGAAUGGAGGUGGACUCGGAGGAGUACCACAGAGACAUAUCUACUGAUUGUGAAGAAAAUGGAUGUAGAUGCGAGGCGACGAAUAGUAGGGCCAUGGGCAUGGCAGCGCCAUGGUACUGGAGAGGCGGGAUUUCUGUGAAAGUCAUUGAUCCCUUGCUCUCAUGGAGGGAGAGCGCUUGGUCGUGAAAGGGGCCGAGGAGGUGGAGAAUGCAGAGGCAAUCUCCAAGUACCGAGACAAGACUGAAGGGCAGAGGCCGAAGAACUUCGUAAGACCGGUGUCAAUGUGCUUCUCAUCAAGAUAGCCGAAAGUGAAGGACUUCGGGUAAUGCAAGAGUGCAUAACCAAGGAACAAAGCAGGCAGUACGCGGUGUUGUACCUUUGCUACUCAGUGGAGUAGGCGGCAGGGUUGAUGGAGAAGACGGUACAAUCCCAAAGGCGACCAAACCUAUGAGAGAAUUACUCCAAGUUGGGGUGAAAACUUCUUGCAUUCCAGAAGUUCGAUGGCAUUGAGAAGGUGAAUCACAGUAACUUGUUGAAUCUCGUAUUUUGAUGAUGAAACUACUUGAUAUAUGUUUAUGAUUUAAUCUGCAUUUUGAGUAACGAAGGAUGCUUCGAUCAGGAUGAGAUAAUUAAAGUAGGAAAAUCAUGUUGUGCCGGAGGAACAUGUCAGAAGAUUGGACGUCGGGCCGGUAGAUCGGUCGACGUAUCGACAGAAGGCUUCGGGCCGUGGACUCGGGCAUCGGGCCAAAAAGAGCGGGUAUUGUGCCAAGGAUAUCGGAGUUGCGGAGUCAACUGGCCGAUUGGGCAAAAGGCUGCAGGAAAGGACGAUGCGCCGAAGAAUCGGACGAAGCGUCGAGGGACCAAUGACAUGCCGGACAACUUGGUUAAUUGCUUAGGAUUAAUUGUCUCGAUCGAAGUUUUGUUUUAAGUGUGCAGGAUUAACUACGAUGGAAGAAAGACAUGCAGCAGGAGUUGCGCCGGAGUUAAGACAAUGAUCAUGUUGGGAGUUCGAGAGUUCGACGGAAGUUCAGACAGUCGUCGGAGGUUCUACGGGAACAAAUCUGAGAAGUCCAUGAGCUUGCCAAAGAAGCUCGCCGGAACUCGCCAAGUGGAUCGUCGCAAGUCCAGGAGUUUGCCGGAAGUCCGCAGGAGCAUCACCGAGGGUUCAUAGGAUGAUCGACGGAAGUUCGCCGGAAGCUCACCGGAAGAAGCGAUCGACGCAUCGGAGCAAGUUGCAGUAAAUGUCUUAGGAAAAAUCAUAGUUAGCACAAUGAUUAAGUUGGAAAUGGGAGGUGAUCCCAUUAACUUAAUCUUGGGGCAAUUGGGCCCCUGAAAAACCUAAAUUGGGCCGAAUGGAUCAACCCAUUCGGACCCUGAUUUCUGGCGGGAGGUGCAACUGCCCAAGCCAGGAGGUAGCACCGCCUAAGCUAAGUCUCCGAGCGAGACCGAGCGGUGCAACCGCCCUAGCCAGGAGGUAGCACCACCUGGGCUCAGUCUCCGAGCGAGACUGGGCGGU
Long non-coding RNA from Musa acuminata AAA Group (dessert banana), 5627 nucleotides. RefSeq lists it as uncharacterized. The record is from RefSeq and is a predicted model, not a curated record. The transcript has 4 exons. Lineage: Eukaryota; Viridiplantae; Streptophyta; Magnoliopsida; Zingiberales; Musaceae.